GUUUAGUUGCUGGGUGUAGACCCGAAACCAAGUGAUCUAUCCAUGGCCAGGUUGAAGGUGCCGUAACAGGUACUGGAGGACCGAACCCACUAAUGUUGAAAAAUUAGGGGAUGAGCUGUGGAUAGGGGUGAAAGGCUAAUCAAACUUGGAGAUAGCUGGUUCUCUCCGAAAACUAUUUAGGUAGUGCCUCGUAUAUCAUUCUCGGGGGUAGAGCACUGUUAUGGCUAGGGGGUACAUACGUACUUACCAAACCAUUGCAAACUCCGAAUACCGAGAAAUGCAAUUACGGGAGACAGACUGCGGGUGCUAACGUCCGUAGUCAAGAGGGAAACAACCCAGACCGACAGCUAAGGUCCCAAAUGACGUGCUAAGUGGAAAACGAAGUGGGAAGGCACACCACAGCCAGGAGGUUGGCUUAGAAGCAGCCAUCCUUUAAAGAAAGCGUAAUAGCUCACUGGUCGAGUCGUCCUGCGCGGAAGAUGUAACGGGGCUAAGCACGUAACCGAAGCUUCGGAUGCAUAAUUUAUUAUGCAUGGUAGGAGAGCGUUCUGUAGGCCUGCGAAGGUGUUCUGUGAGGGAUGCUGGAGGUAUCAGAAGUGCGAAUGCUGACAUGAGUAGCGAUAAAGGGGGUGAAAAGCCCCCUCGCCGAAAAUCCAAGGGUUCCUGCUUAAAGCUAAUCUGCGCAGGGUGAGCCGACCCCUAAGGCGAGGCCGAAAGGCGUAGUCGAUGGGAACCAGGUUAAUAUUCCUGGGCCAUGGAGUGGUGACGGAUCCCGGAAGUAGUUCAUCCUUAUCGGAUUGAAUGGGCUGCCAAGGGGUUCCUGGAAAUAGCCCUCCUAUAAGAUCGUACCCUAAACCGACACAGGUGGAUAGGUAGAGAAUACCAAGGCGCUUGAGAGAACCACAUUUAAGGAACUCGGCAAAAUACCUCCGUAAGUUCGCGAGAAGGAGGCCCGUUCAGAACGCAAGUUUUGGGCGGGGGCACAAACCAGGGGGUGGCGACUGUUUACUAAAAACACAGGGCUCUGCGAAGUCGUAAGACGACGUAUAGGGUCUGACGCCUGCCCGGUGCCUGAAGGUUAAAAGGAGGAGUGCAAGCUCCGAAUUGAAGCCCAGGUAAACGGCGGCCGUAACUAUAACGGUCCUAAGGUAGCGAAAUUCCUUGUCGGGUAAGUUCCGACCUGCACGAAUGGCGUAACGACUUCCCCGCUGUCUCAAAUGUGGACUCAGCGAAAUUGAAUUGCCGGUCAAGAUGCCGGCUCCCCGCGGUUAGACGGAAAGACCCCAUGCACCUUUACUAUAGCUUCGCAUUGGCAUCAGACACAGUAUGUGCAGGAUAGGUGGUAGGCUUUGAAGCAGUGACGCUAGUCAUUGUGGAGCCACCCUUGAGAUACCACCCUUAUUCUGUUUGAUGUCUAACCGCGGUCCGUUAUCCGGAUCCGGGACCCUGCGUGGUGGGUAGUUUGACUGGGGCGGUCGCCUCCUAAAUUGUAACGGAGGCGCGCGAAGGUUGGCUCAGAGCGGUCGGAAAUCGCUCGUUGAGUGCAAUGGCAGAAGCCAGCCUGACUGCGAGACUGACAAGUCGAGCAGAGUCGAAAGACGGCCAUAGUGAUCCGGUGGUCCCGAGUGGAAGGGCCAUCGCUCAACGGAUAAAAGGUACGCUGGGGAUAACAGGCUGAUGGUGCCCAAGAGUCCAUAU
This 1698-nucleotide ribosomal RNA is filed under the name marine metagenome. RNAcentral describes it as "bacterial LSU rRNA". It matches the Rfam family "Bacterial large subunit ribosomal RNA", at positions 694 to 2505 of the family's 2925-position model. The record is from RNAcentral.